AGUCGAAACUAGUUAUACAUAAAAAAAGCAGUUAAAUACCUAAUCAAAUUAUAAUAAAAUUAUAAGAUAAAGAAUAACUACACUUACUAUUCAAAUAAAUGAAUAAUCAAAUCAAUUUUUCUUUUAUUAUUUUAACCUCUGAUUUUUCUUACCUUUUUAAGAUUAGCUUUUUUAAGGUUAAGAAUAUUUCUUUAGUUUAUUUAACCUAUUAAAGUUAGAUAUAAAAAUAAAAUACUCCUUACUACUAACCCCUACCCUUCCUCUUAUGGAGGAUAAAGUAGGCAAAAAAGUAGUCAAUAAAUAAAUUAAUAGAAAUAUAAAUAAUAAUCAAUAUUUUAUUAUUUAUAAUGUUUUACUUAUUUUAAAAUUAUAC
This 373-nucleotide ribosomal RNA is filed under the name Hebeloma pusillum. RNAcentral describes it as "partial small subunit ribosomal RNA". The record is from RNAcentral. Lineage: Eukaryota; Fungi; Basidiomycota; Agaricomycetes; Agaricales; Hymenogastraceae.